AUAGCUCUUGUUUCUUUUUUUUUUUUCCUUUUUUUCUUUUUUGUGUGCAGCGUUUAUUACAAAGCCAAGAGAUACAAAUGACUCAGGACAGGAAGGUACAGUUACAGGACCUUAGACUCAGGACAUAGUACAAACAGACCCACGGGCUCAGAACCUCACACACUAAGCCAAUACCUUGUCCUCCCCUUGCCCCCCAGAUCUAUGUACACUUGAUAGCUCUUGCUUCUCGUGGUUUGUGUUUUCAGACCAUGUAGGUGUUAAUGACGACUUGGCUUCAUGAGGAGCCGAAGUAGGAACUCGGCAGAAUGCAUUUCGAAGACAACACUGGGUCAGGGCAGGAUGAAAACAAGACAAAAGAUGAUAAAGCGCUUUCUGCUCAUUCGCGAUCAGGAGAACAUAGCUACUCCACCGAGGCAGAAGAGAAGGGGAUCAGGAGUCUGUCACAGAGGGCAUGCUCUGUUAUAGAUGUUUCUAGAGAAAAAUAAAGAGACACAACUUGAAAGAAAGAGAUUUAAAAACGGUUCCUUGA
Molecule: long non-coding RNA, 529 nt
Filed under: Rattus norvegicus (Norway rat)
Lineage: Eukaryota; Metazoa; Chordata; Mammalia; Rodentia; Muridae
Description: long non-coding RNA NONRATT032369
Source: RNAcentral